ACUAAGAAGAAGCAUGGUGGAAUUGCGAAGGGUUUUGAUCUCUUAGGCGUAGGUUCGAUUCCUACCUUUUUA
This 72-nucleotide transfer RNA is filed under the name Rhacophorus modestus. RNAcentral's name for it is "tRNA-Gln". It matches the Rfam family "tRNA". From Rfam's summary of the family: Transfer RNA (tRNA) molecules are approximately 80 nucleotides in length. The record is from RNAcentral. Lineage: Eukaryota; Metazoa; Chordata; Amphibia; Anura; Rhacophoridae.